This 773-nucleotide ribosomal RNA is filed under the name Escherichia coli. Its description in RNAcentral is "partial 23S ribosomal RNA". It matches the Rfam family "Bacterial large subunit ribosomal RNA", at positions 2170 to 2925 of the family's 2925-position model. The record is from RNAcentral. Lineage: Bacteria; Pseudomonadati; Pseudomonadota; Gammaproteobacteria; Enterobacterales; Enterobacteriaceae.
GCCAGUCUGCAUGGAGCCGACCUUGAAAUACCACCCUUUAAUGUUUGAUGUUCUAACGUUGACCCGUAAUCCGGGUUGCGGACAGUGUCUGGUGGGUAGUUUGACUGGGGCGGUCUCCUCCUAAAGAGUAACGGAGGAGCACGAAGGUUGGCUAAUCCUGGUCGGACAUCAGGAGGUUAGUGCAAUGGCAUAAGCCAGCUUGACUGCGAGCGUGACGGCGCGAGCAGGUGCGAAAGCAGGUCAUAGUGAUCCGGUGGUUCUGAAUGGAAGGGCCAUCGCUCAACGGAUAAAAGGUACUCCGGGGAUAACAGGCUGAUACCGCCCAAGAGUUCAUAUCGACGGCGGUGUUUGGCACCUCGAUGUCGGCUCAUCACAUCCUGGGGCUGAAGUAGGUCCCAAGGGUAUGGCUGUUCGCCAUUUAAAGUGGUACGCGAGCUGGGUUUAGAACGUCGUGAGACAGUUCGGUCCCUAUCUGCCGUGGGCGCUGGAGAAUUGAGGGGGGCUGCUCCUAGUACGAGAGGACCGGAGUGGACGCAUCACUGGUGUUCGGGUUGUCAUGCCAAUGGCACUGCCCGGUAGCUAAAUGCGGAAGAGAUAAGUGCUGAAAGCAUCUAAGCACGAAACUUGCCCCGAGAUGAGUUCUCCCUGACUCCUUGAGAGUCCUGAAGGAACGUUGAAGACGACGACGUUGAUAGGCCGGGUGUGUAAGCGCAGCGAUGCGUUGAGCUAACCGGUACUAAUGAACCGUGAGGCUUAACCUUACAACGCCGAAG